RNAcentral lists this ribosomal RNA (873 nucleotides) under uncultured archaeon. Its description in RNAcentral is "bacterial SSU rRNA". It matches the Rfam family "Archaeal small subunit ribosomal RNA", at positions 4 to 882 of the family's 1478-position model. The record is from RNAcentral.
CUGGUUGAUCCUGCCAGAGGUUACUGCUAUCGAGGUUCGACUAAGCCAUGCGAGUCGAAUGUAGCAAUACAUGGCGUACUGCUCAGUAACACGUGGACAACCUGCCCUUAGGUCGGGUAUAAACCCGGGAAACUGGGUAUAAUCCCCGAUAGGUCUCGGCUGCUGGAAUGCAUCGAGAUUUAAAGCUCCGGCGCCUAAGGAUGGGUCUGCGGCCUAUCAGGUAGUAGUGGGUGUAGCGUACCUACUAGCCUACGACGGGUACGGGUUGUGAGAGCAAGAGCCCGGAGAUGGAUUCUGAGACACGAAUCCAGGCCCUACGGGGUGCAGCAGGCGCGAAAACUUUACAAUGCUGGCAACAGCGAUAAGGGAACCUCGAGUGCCAGGUUACAAAUCUGGCUGUCGAGAUGCCUAAAAAGCAUUUCAUAGCAAGGGCCGGGCAAGACCGGUGCCAGCCGCCGCGGUAACACCGGCGGCUCGAGUGGUAACCGUUAUUAUUGGGUCUAAGGGGUCUGUAGCCGGCCGGAUAAGUCUCUUGAGAAAUCUGGCAGCUUAACUGUCAGGCUUCCAGGAGAUACUGUCUGGCUCGAGGCCGGGAGAGGUGAGAGGUACUUCAGGGGUAGGGGUGAAAUCUUGUAAUCCUUGAAGGACCACCAGUGGCGAAGGCGUCUCACCAGAACGGACCUGACGGCAAGGGACGAAAGCUAGGGGCACGAACCGGAUUAGAUACCCGGGUAGUCCUGGCCGUAAACGAUACUCGCUAGGUGUCGGCCACGGUGCGACCGUUGUCGGUGCCGUAGGGAAGCCGUGAAGCGAGCCACCUGGGAAGUACGGCCGCAAGGCUGAAACUUAAAGGAAUUGGCGGGGGAGCACCAC